Molecule: RNase P RNA, 352 nt
Filed under: human gut metagenome
Description: Bacterial RNase P class A
Rfam family: Bacterial RNase P class A
About the family: Ribonuclease P (RNase P) is a ubiquitous endoribonuclease, found in archaea, bacteria and eukarya as well as chloroplasts and mitochondria. Its best characterised activity is the generation of mature 5'-ends of tRNAs by cleaving the 5'-leader elements of precursor-tRNAs.
Source: RNAcentral
GUAGUCGGAUGAUCGCUUUAAUAGAUUAAAUAUUAAAGAGGAAAGUCCGGGCACUUAAGGGUAGGUCGCUAGAUAACGUCUAGUAUAAGAAAUUAUGAGGAAAGUGCCACAGAAAAGUAAACAGCCUUUUUAUUUUAAUAAUUAAAACAAGAAGGCAAAGGUGCAACUGUGAGGUAAGAGCUCACAUAAAUGUAUCAAAAGAUACAUUUAGGUAAACCCCGACUGAGUGCAAGAUUAGAAGUAGUCUUUAAAACUGACCCGGUUAAACUUCUAAAAAUCGCUUGAAAUUAUUAGUAAUAAUAAUUCUAGAUAGAUGAUCAUCUAAAACAGAACCCGGCUUAUUGAUUACUUC